UUGUUCAUCUGAGGGUAGAGACUAGAGAGAGAGAGGAGCUGAUGGGAGGUUAUUGUUCAUCUGAGGGUAGAGACUAGAGAGAGGAGCUGAUGGGAGGUUAUUGUUCAUCUGAGGGUAGAGACUAGAGAGAGAGGAGCUGAUGGGAGGUUAUUGUUCAUCUGAGGGUAUAGACUAGAGAGAGAGAGGAGCUGAUGGGAGGUUAUUGUUCAUCUGAGGGUAUAGACUA
This is a long non-coding RNA of Oncorhynchus keta (chum salmon), 226 nucleotides long. RefSeq lists it as uncharacterized. NCBI's taxonomy places the organism in Eukaryota, Metazoa, Chordata, Actinopteri, Salmoniformes, Salmonidae. The record is from RefSeq and is a predicted model, not a curated record. The transcript has 3 exons.